GUCUGUGAAGAUGCGGACUACCUGCAACUGGACAAAAAGACCCUAUGAAGCUUCACUGUUCCCUGGGAUUGGCUUUGAGCCUUUCUUGCGAAGCUUAGGUGGAAGGUGAAGAAGGCCCCCUUCUAGGGGGGCCCGAGCCAUCAGUGAGAUACCACUGUGGAAGAGCUAGAAUUCUAACCUUGUGUUAGGACCUACGAGCCAAGGGACAGUCUCAGGUAGACAGUUUCUAUGGGGUAUAGGCCUCCCAAAAGAUAACGGAGGCAUGCAAAGGUUUCCUCAGGCCAGACUGAGAUUGGCCCUUGAGUGGAAAGGCAGAAGGGAGCUUGACUACAAGACCCACCCGUCAAGCAGGGACGAAAGUCAGCCUUAGUGAUCCAACGAUGCCGAGUGGAAGGGCCGUCGCUCAACGGAUAAAAGUUACUCUAGGGAUAACAGGCUGAUCUUCCCUAAGAGCUCAUAUCGAUAGGAAGGUUUGGCACCUCGAUGUCGACUCUUCGCCACCUGGGGCUGUAGUAUGUUCCAAAGGUUGGGUCGUUCACCCAUUAAAGCGGUACGUGAACCUUUCUUACUUCAACUUAGGAAAAGAGGCUAGGUUCAAUAUAUG
RNAcentral lists this non-coding RNA (604 nucleotides) under Cucumis melo (muskmelon). Its description in RNAcentral is "Bacterial large subunit ribosomal RNA". It matches the Rfam family "Bacterial large subunit ribosomal RNA", at positions 2049 to 2633 of the family's 2925-position model. The record is from Rfam by way of RNAcentral. Lineage: Eukaryota; Viridiplantae; Streptophyta; Magnoliopsida; Cucurbitales; Cucurbitaceae.